Pectinophora gossypiella (pink bollworm) is the source of this 841-nucleotide long non-coding RNA. RefSeq lists it as uncharacterized. The transcript is spliced from 2 exons. The record is from RefSeq and is a predicted model, not a curated record. Lineage: Eukaryota; Metazoa; Arthropoda; Insecta; Lepidoptera; Gelechiidae.
UUCACGACACAUCGAAUAUCGGAAAAACAAAAAAAUAACGUGAGAUAUGGCUGAAAAUAUUUUUUUUUUGAUAUAUGGCUGAUUUGACCAAAAUUCUUUGCAUGGUGAUUUCGAUGACCUCACCUCACCUUUAGCUAGCUCAGCUGAUUUUGACAAUUUGACGCGGCAGUGGUUCGUGUAAUUUUGCUAUACUUUUGGAGUUUGGUUCGUAAUCUAUUUCGUAUUCGUCGCAGCAGAUAACGUACAUUAUAAAUAUAAAUCGAAGCGUGCUGUUUAUAAAGUGUAUGUAAUGUUUUAUACUUUAAUUUCACUUCUUUUUGUGUCGGUUAAUUUAUCCUUAGCCGAGACAACCUUAAAUUUGGCAAUUAAACAAACACAAGGGAAUCUAACAAAAACUGCGAUUUUGGACGUUACUGACUCAUUGCUCCGAUUGAUUACAUUUGAAAGCAAUUAACAAAAUGGCUGUGAAUACACUGUCUACUGAGGACAAGGAGUUCCUAGCCAAAUGUGAGGAACAACUGAAAGAUCGCUUUACGGACAAGGAUGAACAGUUUAUGGCAGUUUUUAAUGCAGACCCAUCGACCCCACCGAUCAUUGAAAACUGGUGGGUCCCACAGAAUGCUGGACGUAGAAAUGACCGUCGAAACAACAGAAGAAACCAUCCAUAUGAACGGAACAGAGAUAGAAACUUUGAUAGGAGGGAUAACUAUGACAGGAGAGGAUACAAUGACUAUAACAGAGGCUAUGAUGACAGGGGUUAUGGCAAUCGUAGCCAACGUCCCAGAUAUUGACUUACAAUAAGGAUAAUUUGUAAUUGAAACUAAUAAAUUUUUCAAAAGAA